GGCAAAAGCUUUGUACCCAGAGUCUGACGGUCAGACAUUGCACCUGGAGCUUUCCCUUUGGGCAAUAAACCUGGUC
Regulatory RNA element from Ophiophagus hannah (king cobra), 76 nucleotides. It matches the Rfam family "U1A polyadenylation inhibition element (PIE)". From Rfam's summary of the family: This family represents the U1A polyadenylation inhibition element (PIE). PIE is a regulatory RNA which is responsible for the regulation of the length of the polyA tail of the U1A pre-mRNA. The PIE is located in the U1A mRNA 3' UTR. Lineage: Eukaryota; Metazoa; Chordata; Lepidosauria; Squamata; Elapidae. The record is from Rfam.